GCGGACGGGUGAGUAACACGUGGGUAACCUGCCUGUAAGACUGGGAUAACUCCGGGAAACCGGGGCUAAUACCGGAUGGUUGUCUGAACCGCAUGGUUCAGACAUAAAAGGUGGCUUCGGCUACCACUUACAGAUGGACCCGCGGCGCAUUAGCUAGUUGGUGAGGUAACGGCUCACCAAGGCGACGAUGCGUAGCCGACCUGAGAGGGUGAUCGGCCACACUGGGACUGAGACACGGCCCAGACUCCUACGGGAGGCAGCAGUAGGGAAUCUUCCGCAAUGGACGAAAGUCUGACGGAGCAACGCCGCGUGAGUGAUGAAGGUUUUCGGAUCGUAAAGCUCUGUUGUUAGGGAAGAACAAGUGCCGUUCAAAUAGGGCGGCACCUUGACGGUACCUAACCAGAAAGCCACGGCUAACUACGUGCCAGCAG
This 431-nucleotide ribosomal RNA is filed under the name Bacillus amyloliquefaciens. RNAcentral's name for it is "bacterial SSU rRNA". It matches the Rfam family "Bacterial small subunit ribosomal RNA", at positions 98 to 514 of the family's 1533-position model. The record is from RNAcentral. Lineage: Bacteria; Bacillati; Bacillota; Bacilli; Caryophanales; Bacillaceae.